CAGUAGCCGCGGUAAUACGUAGGGUGCAAGCGUUAAUCGGAUUCACUGGGUUUAAAGGGUGCGUAGGCGGAUCUGUAAGUCAGUGGUGAAAUCUCCAGGCUUAACCUGGAAACUGCCGUUGAUACUAUAGGUCUUGAAUUUUGUGGAGGUUAGCGGAAUAUGUCAUGUAGCGGUGAAAUGCAUAGAUAUGACAUAGAACACCAAUUGCGAAGGCAGCUGGCUACACAACUAUUGACGCUGAGGCACGAAAGCGUGGGGAUCAAACAGGAUUAGAUACCCCGGUAGUCCCUGUCUCUUAUAC
RNAcentral lists this ribosomal RNA (301 nucleotides) under uncultured bacterium. RNAcentral's name for it is "partial 16S ribosomal RNA". It matches the Rfam family "Bacterial small subunit ribosomal RNA", at positions 509 to 807 of the family's 1533-position model. The record is from RNAcentral.